ACAUCCUUUAAACCCUGCUUACAUUUGGACCUGUGGCGUGAUUUCUCUUGGUCCAUUAAGCAAAACUUGACAGAACGGAAACUUCUCUCUCCUUUUCAGCUGGAGAGUCUGCCAGGCCGGGCAGUGCCAGGAUUCUUUCUCAUCAUCUUUUUAAUGAUAAAUUAAUUGUGAACUCUUAAGUGCUUGUCCUCAGCAUCCUGCCAGGGCACACCACGAUAAUGGUGCUUCUCACGGCCGAGCUGCCUCCUCUCUCUUUCCAAAGCAAAUAAAUGAACAUCACUGAGCAUCUUGGAAGCGCCUCACCCAAUUUCUGGGAUAGGACACAGAAUCGAUGGGCACGUCUUUAUUUCUGCCUACAAUAUGUAUUCUUGUAGCUGACUUCUCAUGCGGAGGAGAUGUGGAAACGUCAGGAACUUAACGCCCAGUUCUGGUUGAUGAUCACCUCCUGGGAUGGUUUGGUCAGCCACAACAAACGAGCAGAGUUUCUGGUUCUGUCACUCAAGGAAAAGAUUCCAGUGGAUGGCAGGAGGCCAAGUGACAAAGAAAGCGAAAGUCACAACGGGAAAGAUCCUCUGAGGCCGCACCGUGAAGAGGUGAGAGAGACACUGACAAUGGACCAAUUACUGCAAAAAUAUCAAAGGUGCUGGCUGUGCACCUGGCACUGAAUUUUUGAGUGACUUGCAGAAGGGAAAGGCUGGCCCAGAGUGCCUUGUCUAACGGAUGCAGGUGGUGCACGUGAGCAUCGGCUGGGCCUUUACUGAUCUAUCCUCUCCCAGGCCUGCACUGUGAGAGCCACAGGGGGAGUUCCCACAAGAUCAGAGAGAUUGGACCUCCUGGGAGAGUUCCGUCAUCCCUGGAGGCCUUCCCUUCCACGGGGGAGCUCUCUGUCCACGCAGCUGUGCCUGCAUUCCCCCACCUGCAGCGGGUUAGAGAGCCUAGGGACCCCUCCCCCACACCCCUCCGCUCAGCAAAACCAUCCAGGAAGCCUGGGAAGAAAGCCACUGCGUAAUGAAAAACGAAUGAAGGCCGUUAUACCUGAAUAAUAAUUAUUAAUUGAUGCCAGAGACAAAAUGUAGAAAUUACCGUCGUGACAUUUUUGUUGCCAAAACAAAGGAAACUGGUGGAGUCCAUAUUCCUUUUAAAUAGCAUACCUUUUAGGAUGCCCAACCAUCCUGGUUUGCCCAGGGUGUUCUGGUGCUCGCUUCUGCACAAACCAAGAUGGUUGGUGACCCUAGUUUUAGUUAACAUCAGGGUACCUGGUUUAGGAUGGUGUAAGGUAAAUGAUUAAGUUUUUUCAGACCUGGAUAGAAAAAUCUAACAGAGGAUUCCCUCCCUUAUCUUUAUCUAGAGAAAUAAAUGUAUUAAGGAAACCCCCUGUGAAUCAACUUAGCAGGUAGACCCAAAUGACUCUGAAGUCAGGCUUGAACCCUGGCUCCACCACCCACCAGCUGUGUGAACUUGGCAACUUAUCAUCGGUCUCUCUGGGUCUCAGUCUCUCUCUCUGUAAAGUGGAGAUGAUAGGAGAACUCAGAGGGUUUUUAAAUGAAUUAAAUGAGCUCAUACAUGUAAAAGGCUUAGAGCCGCACCUGGCACACAUAGUUAGCGCUUCAUAUGUCUUAGUCAUCAUCAAUCACUAUUAUUACCUCUUUUUUCAUAAGCC
This 1660-nucleotide long non-coding RNA is filed under the name Equus caballus (horse). Its description in RNAcentral is "lncRNA (ENSECAG00000059037.1)". The record is from RNAcentral. Lineage: Eukaryota; Metazoa; Chordata; Mammalia; Perissodactyla; Equidae.